AUGCUCUCUUUUACAGUACAUAUACUAAAAUUGGAAUGAUACAGAGAUGAUUAACAUGGCCCUUGUGCAAAGAUGACAUGCAAACUCAUGACACAUUCCAUAUUUAU
Molecule: small nuclear RNA, 107 nt
Organism: Dipodomys ordii (Ord's kangaroo rat)
Lineage: Eukaryota; Metazoa; Chordata; Mammalia; Rodentia; Heteromyidae
Source: Ensembl